GCCGAAGUGGUGGAAUGGCAGACACGUCGCACUCAAAAUGCGAUGCCGCGAGGCGUGUGGGUUCGAGUCCCACCUUCGGUAUCA
RNAcentral lists this transfer RNA (84 nucleotides) under Lysinibacillus contaminans. Its description in RNAcentral is "tRNA-Leu". It matches the Rfam family "tRNA". Rfam says of the family: Transfer RNA (tRNA) molecules are approximately 80 nucleotides in length. RNAcentral also lists the same sequence under 1 other name. Lineage: Bacteria; Bacillati; Bacillota; Bacilli; Caryophanales; Bacillaceae. The record is from RNAcentral.